GGAGCCUGAGAAACGGCUACCACAUCUAAGGAAGGCAGCAGGCGCGCAAAUUACCCAAUGAAAACAGUUUUGAGGUAGUGACGAGAAAUAACAAUACAGAGCAUUUAAAUGUUUUGUAAUUGGAAUGGUGGGAAUCUAAACCCCUUUCAGAGUAACAAUUGGAGGGAAAGUCUGGUGCCAGCAGCCGCGGUAAUUCCAGCUCCAAUAGCGUAUAUUUGAGUUGUUGCAGUUAAAAAGCUCGUAGUUGGAUUUCUGUCUUGGCUUUUACGUGUACUACAUGUAUAUUAAUUUAUAGAUGUUUUAUAACAGCGUUUAAACUUUGACAUAUUAUCCCAAUGUGUGUAUGUGUGUGUAUAUAUAGAGAAUUAGGUUUUAAAACCUUGAUUUAAUAUAUAUAUAUAUAUAUAAUCAUUGGGACUUUUACUUUGAGAAAAAUAGAGUGUUUCAAGCAGGUAUUUUUUUGCCUUGAAUACUGCAGCAUGGAAUAAUAAUAUAGGACUUUGGUUUUAUUUUGUUGGUUUCUAAGACUAGAGUAAUGAU
RNAcentral lists this ribosomal RNA (540 nucleotides) under Eimeriidae sp. RNAcentral describes it as "bacterial SSU rRNA". It matches the Rfam family "Eukaryotic small subunit ribosomal RNA", at positions 391 to 869 of the family's 1831-position model. The record is from RNAcentral. Lineage: Eukaryota; Apicomplexa; Conoidasida; Eucoccidiorida; Eimeriidae.